UGGUUCUCCCCGAAAGCUAUUUAGGUAGCGCCUCGUGAAUUCAUCUCCGGGGGUAGAGCACUGUUUCGGCUAGGGGGCCAUCCCGGCUUACCAACCCGAUGCAAACUGCGAAUACCGGAGAAUGUUAUCACGGGAGACACACGGCGGGUGCUAACGUCCGUCGUGAAGAGGGAAACAACCCAGACCGCCAGCUAAGGUCCCAAAGUCAUGGUUAAGUGGGAAACGAUGUGGGAAGGCCCAGACAGCCAGGAUGUUGGCUUAGAAGCAGCCAUCAUUUAAAGAAAGCGUAAUAGCUCACUGGUCGAGUCGGCCUGCGCGGAAGAUGUAACGGGGCUAAACCAUGCACCGAAGCUGCGGCAGCGAACGUAUCACCCAAGACAACUUUACGGAGUUGACGAUUGACGGAGCGAAGCGACGUCAAAGCGUUCAUUAAAGUCGAGUUGGCUUAGGGAUACGUUCGUUGGGUAGGGGAGCGUUCUGUAAGCCUGUGAAGGUGUGUCGUGAGGCAUGCUGGAGGUAUCAGAAGUGCGA
RNAcentral lists this ribosomal RNA (531 nucleotides) under Salmonella enterica subsp. enterica. Its description in RNAcentral is "partial 23S ribosomal RNA". It matches the Rfam family "Bacterial large subunit ribosomal RNA", at positions 850 to 1293 of the family's 2925-position model. The record is from RNAcentral. Lineage: Bacteria; Pseudomonadati; Pseudomonadota; Gammaproteobacteria; Enterobacterales; Enterobacteriaceae.